ACGAACGCUGGCGGCGUGCUUAACACCUGCCAGUCGAACGGUGAAGCGCCUUCCUUUUUGGUGGGUGUGGAUGAGUGGCGAACGGGUGAGUAACACGUGAGUAACCUGCCCCCUUCUUCUGGAUAACCGCAUGAAAGUGUGGCUAAUACGGGAUAUUCUGGGUCUGUCGCAUGAUGGGUCUGGGAAAGAUAUUGUUUCGGUGGGGGAUGGGCUCGCGGCCUAUCAGCUUGUUGGUGGGGUGAUGGCCUACCAAGGCGGUGACGGGUAGCCGGCCUGAGAGGGUGGACGGUCACACUGGGACUGAGACACGGCCCAGACUACUACGGGAGGCAGCAGUGGGGAAUAUGGCACAAUGGGCGCAAGCCUGAUGCAGCGACGCCGCGUGAGGGAUGGAGGCCUUCGGGUUGUGAACCUCUUUCGCCAGUGAAGCAGGCCUGCCUCGUUUGUGGGUGGGUUGACGGUAGCUGGAUAAGAAGCGCCGGCUAACUACGUG
RNAcentral lists this ribosomal RNA (493 nucleotides) under uncultured bacterium. RNAcentral describes it as "partial 16S ribosomal RNA". It matches the Rfam family "Bacterial small subunit ribosomal RNA", at positions 29 to 507 of the family's 1533-position model. The record is from RNAcentral.